This 402-nucleotide ribosomal RNA is filed under the name uncultured bacterium. RNAcentral describes it as "bacterial SSU rRNA". It matches the Rfam family "Bacterial small subunit ribosomal RNA", at positions 358 to 774 of the family's 1533-position model. The record is from RNAcentral.
GGAAUAUUCCACAAUGGGCGAAAGCCUGAUGGAGCGACGCCGCGUGAGUGAAGAAGGCCUUCGGGUUGUAAAGCUCUGUUAUAGGGGACGAAGGAAGUGACGGUACCCUAUAAGGAAGCCCCGGCUAACUACGUGCCAGCAGCCGCGGUAAUACGUAGGGGGCGAGCGUUGUCCGGAAUGACUGGGCGUAAAGGGCGUGUAGGCGGCCUGAUAAGUCUGGAGUGAAAGUCCUGCUUUUAAGGUGGGAAUUGCUUUGGAUACUGUCGGGCUUGAGUGCGGAAGAGGUAAGUGGAAUGCCCAGUGUAGCGGUGAAAUGCGUAGAGAUUGGGAGGAACACCGGUGGCGAAGGCGACUUACUGGGACGUAACUGACGCUGAGGCGCGAAAGCGUGGGGAGCGAACA